AAUCCUUGUGUCAUGGUUAGACUACUAAUCAUAGAUCACACAAUAAUGUUUAUCUACUGGCUUACUGAGUCCUGCAAAGUCACAGCAAACAUGUCAGUGGGUGCAUGCUUCAUUCAAAAAAUGCUUUCAGAUAGCUGUGCAUCAGAGAGUAAUACUCAAAUAUCAGUAGUAUUGAAAGAUUGCACAAGAUUCUACUCUUUGUAUUGACAUCUGAAAAUUAAUUUUAUAUAGAUAAUAAUGUCCAAACUAUUUUCUAAUUACUUAUGUAAUUAGAAAUGUAAUGUUUUAUCAACAUUCUGUAAAUCUAUUUUACAUCUUAGAUUUAAAAUUUUGGCUGUUUUGGGCAUAAAACUUCUAAUUAUGAUUAAAUAUAUUAUAAACAUUAUUAGGAAAAUAUGAUUCCAUAAUAAAGGUAGGGCUAUGGUUUAUUUUGAAAUGCAGACUAUAGCUAAGCAGCAUUCAUUCUUAUUCAAAAGACUUAGAAGAGUGUUGUGAAAGAUCAGUUGACAAAUGUAAUGUGUAGUUCCUUACCAUUGAGGAUGAACAACUCUGUUUUGAAAUAAUAAAAAGCAGAAUAUUGCUCAAAGUUUAAAUAUUAAAGGUACCAGAUCCCCCAGAAGCAACUCUGAACUAUGUAGUUAUUCAUUUUUUUUUAAAUCUAUUUUUCUGUCUUCAGUACAAGUCUCUAGCUUCUGUGAGUGUUUUUGCUGCAUUUUUAUUCAGUCCUUUGUGCUGCUAAAUAGUAGUAUGCCUGAAUGAGUUAAUUUACAUUUAAUUUAUUGGGAAUUUUAAGAGUUUGUUUAGAAAUGGAUAAUCUAAAUAAGCAAUUUAUGUAAAAUCCUUUGUUUUUCUUUCCCAAAAGAGUUCAUAAUCAUAUAUCACACGACAGAGUAAACAUUUCAGAAGAAACAGUCAAGUUACUUAAAAAACUGCAAAGUAGUCAUAGAAAAACUGAGCACACUGCAGAAUCCACAAUAGCUCUCGGAUGCACAAUUCCAGGAUGAUUUGUUUAAAGCAAGACUUACUUACAACAUGCCUGCAAUAUGAUGGUCACGCUUUUGGACGUUUCCUUUGUGCUAUACUUUGAUUCUUUGCAUAUAUUAAUUAUUACAUGCUAUUCCUACUGAAUUGGUGAUCUUACCUAGAGGCUAACAAGAGUGACUACUUGUUAGACUAACAUAACCAAGAAUAAUUUCCCAGGACAACUUGUGUCAUUUCAUUCACAUGAAAAAAUAAAAUUAAACAAGACCACUCAGUAAACAUUGAUUCUUCUUAAACAUAUGUCUAAGAUGUAUUGUACAUAUUUUACUGAAACAGAAUAAAGUUAACUUGGGAAUCCCUUCUCUUCAUAAUACCACAUUGUUGCAGUCAGUGUGUUUCAACUAACAAGCCAUUUUGAGGGAUGGGUAACUUUUUAAAAAUAGAAAUGUAUAUUUUCUCAUAAUAGAUGAUCACAAUAUUUCAAUUUACAGUAUGUAAGGUUAAAAAUACAUAAGACUUAAAUUUUCCAGACUUGUUAAACUGAAAAUCCAUGUACACAAUAAAUCUCACGCUUUGUAACUCUUGCUUAAAUCUUUUGUAAUGUAAGGUAUUUAUGAAAAUUUGAAGCAUACCUUUUUG
This 1620-nucleotide long non-coding RNA is filed under the name Mus musculus (house mouse). RNAcentral describes it as "long non-coding RNA chr5:12587131-12588751". The record is from RNAcentral. Lineage: Eukaryota; Metazoa; Chordata; Mammalia; Rodentia; Muridae.